RNAcentral lists this long non-coding RNA (1051 nucleotides) under Nicotiana tabacum (common tobacco). RNAcentral describes it as "long non-coding RNA (NTAB_LNC016005)". Lineage: Eukaryota; Viridiplantae; Streptophyta; Magnoliopsida; Solanales; Solanaceae. The record is from RNAcentral.
GCUUCUGGUUAUUAUGCAAGAUGUAUGGAUGGAGGAUGAAGCACAUAGUUGUACUACUACUGAUGAGAGAACCAAUACUGUUCACUCAAUUUUCAUGACAUGCUUCACAUGAUGGUAGAAUAUAGUCGAAUCUAGAUUCUAGAAAGGAAUAAUCAAAAUGCAAUCCUGAGAUCAAAGAGAAAGUAACAUGAAUCCAUAAUCUAAAGCCAUUCCUUGUUAGCUUUUACCUAAAAAAUUUCAUGCAGAUCAAAGUUUUUAGUUCUGUCAUUGCUCUGAUUACCAACUUGUUGAGGAAAAGUCUAUCUAUCAAAUGCAAAGCAGAGAUUCAAGAAUAAGGACGAAAUGCGCAAGCUCCUGGGCUUUAACUCCCAGGUCCUUGUAAAAUACUCAUAGUAGAAUACAAUGUUCUUAAAGCUAGUACUAUCGAAAGUUCAUCUGAAUUAUGAAAAGAAAGAAAUAAAGGAACUAAAAUGAAAAACAAAUGUCUUCCAACAAUCUGGUUACACUUCAUUUUCUAUUUCUUGGAUAAGUUACUCAAUAGGAGACGUGUAAAACAAUCUCAACAAGAAAAGUGUUUGUUUGUAUUUGUUGGAACAAGAUUGGGCAUGUUGACAAUUGUUAGAAAGUGAAGGAUUUGAGUGAGAAAGAAUCUGGGGGAAGGUAAAUUAAAAGGAUUUGAUUCCUAGACUUUGAGACAGUAGCAAGAUUCCGGGUAUCAGUCUCAAUCAGGAUUUCUUAACCGCAUAAUUUUUAACGGUCCUGAUUCAACAACAUAAAUUCACCACCAAUUUGACCAUCAAAUCUAAUCCAUAGAGAGAUGCGUAUCCAACUCCAAAAACUCCUCCACCACCAAAACACUAUCUAACAUUAAAUAUACCUUUAACAAUAUUAAUAAGUACACGCUAAUUACAUCCUAAACACAUCUCCAUACUAAUAAGUACUCACUAAUUACAUCCUAAACACAUCUCCAUAAACAACUAACAAAACAUUUUCUCAGAAAUCAGUUUCCAAGAAAACAACAGUUUGAGGUCAACAACAAUGAAGUUACUAG